GCCCAAAUCAAACUGUUAACUUGUCUGA
Molecule: non-coding RNA, 28 nt
Filed under: Cricetulus griseus (Chinese hamster)
Lineage: Eukaryota; Metazoa; Chordata; Mammalia; Rodentia; Cricetidae
Source: RNAcentral